Drosophila innubila is the source of this 445-nucleotide long non-coding RNA. RefSeq lists it as uncharacterized. The transcript has 3 exons. The record is from RefSeq and is a predicted model, not a curated record. Lineage: Eukaryota; Metazoa; Arthropoda; Insecta; Diptera; Drosophilidae.
GCAAGACAAAGCCAUUCAUAGCCUGCUUACAUACUGAAUUUUGGAAAACAAAAUAAAUCUGUAAUCAAAUUGGCAUUGAAAAAUCAAUCACCUACUUUUCGACGAGCGUAUGCCUGUUAAUCUAUAAGUUUAGUACAUUCACAGCCUUUGUAAGAGCAACUUUACAAUUUUUUUAACAAUUUCUUAACAAUCUUCAAAAUGUUCAUUGGUCCGGUUCAGAAAGAACAUUUACACAUGAUGAUUCUGGGUUGCGGUUGGCCUUGUGGAUCAUUGAGCGGACCCUGUGAUGGCUGCUGCGGAGGUUGUUGUGGCAGUUGCUGUGGCAGUUGCUGUGGCGGCGGUUGUGGCGGCUGUUGUUAGGUGCAACACCUAGCUUGAAGCUAUGUGGACCUGGACCAAUGUUCAUUGCAAAAGGUCAUACAAUCAACAUCUUUCUACAAGUAAA